RNAcentral lists this ribosomal RNA (708 nucleotides) under Salmonella enterica. RNAcentral's name for it is "bacterial SSU rRNA". It matches the Rfam family "Bacterial small subunit ribosomal RNA", at positions 1 to 701 of the family's 1533-position model. Lineage: Bacteria; Pseudomonadati; Pseudomonadota; Gammaproteobacteria; Enterobacterales; Enterobacteriaceae. The record is from RNAcentral.
UUGAAGAGUUUGAUCAUGGCUCAGAUUGAACGCUGGCGGCAGGCCUAACACAUGCAAGUCGAACGGUAACAGGAAGCAGCUUGCUGCUUUGCUGACGAGUGGCGGACGGGUGAGUAAUGUCUGGGAAACUGCCUGAUGGAGGGGGAUAACUACUGGAAACGGUGGCUAAUACCGCAUAACGUCGCAAGACCAAAGAGGGGGACCUUCGGGCCUCUUGCCAUCAGAUGUGCCCAGAUGGGAUUAGCUUGUUGGUGAGGUAACGGCUCACCAAGGCGACGAUCCCUAGCUGGUCUGAGAGGAUGACCAGCCACACUGGAACUGAGACACGGUCCAGACUCCUACGGGAGGCAGCAGUGGGGAAUAUUGCACAAUGGGCGCAAGCCUGAUGCAGCCAUGCCGCGUGUAUGAAGAAGGCCUUCGGGUUGUAAAGUACUUUCAGCGGGGAGGAAGGUGUUGUGGUUAAUAACCGCAGCAAUUGACGUUACCCGCAGAAGAAGCACCGGCUAACUCCGUGCCAGCAGCCGCGGUAAUACGGAGGGUGCAAGCGUUAAUCGGAAUUACUGGGCGUAAAGCGCACGCAGGCGGUCUGUCAAGUCGGAUGUGAAAUCCCCGGGCUCAACCUGGGAACUGCAUUCGAAACUGGCAGGCUUGAGUCUUGUAGAGGGGGGUAGAAUUCCAGGUGUAGCGGUGAAAUGCGUAGAGAUCUGG